UACGUAGGGCGCAAGCGUUGUCCGGAAUUAUUGGGCGUAAAGAGCGCGUAGGCGGCCUGGUGCGUCCGCUGUGAAAUCCCGGGGCUCAACCCCGGGCCUGCAGUGGAUACGGGCUGGCUAGAGGCAGGCAGGGGAGAACGGAAUUCCUGGUGUAGCGGUGAAAUGCGCAGAUAUCAGGAGGAACACCGGUGGCGAAGGCGGUUCUCUGGGCCUGUACUGACGCUGAGGAGCGAAAGCGUGGGGAGCGAACAGG
RNAcentral lists this ribosomal RNA (253 nucleotides) under uncultured bacterium. RNAcentral's name for it is "partial 16S ribosomal RNA". It matches the Rfam family "Bacterial small subunit ribosomal RNA", at positions 524 to 776 of the family's 1533-position model. The record is from RNAcentral.